UACAGAGGUGGCAAACGUUGUCCGGAAUUACUGGGUGUAAAGGGUCCGCAGGCGGCCUUGUAAGUCAAUGGUGAAUGUCCCGGCUCAACCGGGUCACUGCCGUUGAAACUGCAGGGCUUGAGUACGAUAGAGGAGAGUGGAAUUCCCAGUGUAGCGGUGAAAUGCGUAGAUAUUGGGAGGAACACCAGUGGCGAAGGCGGCUCUCUGGAUCGAUACUGACGCUCAGGGACGAAAGCUAGGGGAGC
This 245-nucleotide ribosomal RNA is filed under the name uncultured bacterium. RNAcentral's name for it is "partial 16S ribosomal RNA". It matches the Rfam family "Bacterial small subunit ribosomal RNA", at positions 524 to 769 of the family's 1533-position model. The record is from RNAcentral.